Dermacentor silvarum is the source of this 756-nucleotide long non-coding RNA. RefSeq lists it as uncharacterized. The transcript is spliced from 3 exons. NCBI's taxonomy places the organism in Eukaryota, Metazoa, Arthropoda, Arachnida, Ixodida, Ixodidae. The record is from RefSeq and is a predicted model, not a curated record.
CAGAAAAAAAGCACAACCUUCGAGACUCACAAUUACUUUCACGGUCGUUUGCGGUUUUGAUGCUCGUAGUACAGUGGUUGGCUUUUGGCUUUCGCAUUUACUUCGACUUUGGAUACGCAACUGUGAAAAGCGCGGCAGCGGUAGCAGCGGUUACUCCUCAGAAUCUGAAACCACGCCGGCGGUUCUUUAUUCCAUGACGGCGGCAAGCCUGCGACCGUCGAAACGCGAGUGGGAUUUUUCUCUUGCGUCCGUUGCGCCUGUGAUACCCGACAACUGUAGCAGCAUGUCAUCUGAUCCGACUUCAACUGAAGGCUCGCCGACUGAUGCGGAAGCAGUUUACCUCGUUUCGCACGGGCCACCAAAGAAAAUUGUGAAGUUCACAGGCGCCCGGAAGCUCGCCGACCUUCACGAAAGUGUGCGGAUGGGUGGGUUCGCGCACCUGAUGACAUGCAAUGAUCUCCUAAUACAGCAUGCUGGAAGCUGCACAGAGGAGUUGGCAAGGGGGCACAAGGAAGCAAUGCCCCGUUGCUGUCCGUAGGGUGAACGCAAGGCGGCUCGUGGCGGCCGCAAUUUCUACGCUGCGCUUUUCAUCUCUGAAGCCAUGCGCAGCAGCGUGCAGUCGUCAUGUUCAGCAAAGCAGUGCAAAGAUGCAAAAGGCGUGAGCGCCAUCAUGGUUCUACCAUUUCUUGUCAAUGAGCGAGGGGACGACAUGUUCACAAAAAUGGUUAGAACUUUGAGCUGCUUACACGACCAAGU